RNAcentral lists this long non-coding RNA (964 nucleotides) under Salmo salar (Atlantic salmon). Its description in RNAcentral is "lncRNA (ENSSSAG00000100320.1)". Lineage: Eukaryota; Metazoa; Chordata; Actinopteri; Salmoniformes; Salmonidae. The record is from RNAcentral.
GUAAUUGAGUGGGUGUGCAGGUGAGAGUUUCCACUUAAUAGGUUGCCUCUCCUGUGCUGUCACUAGGAAGAACAGAGGGUAGUGACACUGGGAGAAAAGGAGAGCGGAGAGACGGAGAGAGAGAGAGGCUCUACACAUCAUCCGCAGCUGAUACAGACAGUUUCAUCCUCAGACUUUUGCUCAACGCUACACACGGAAACUUAAGAAGUGCCAGAUGUUUCAGUGCACAGAGCAGGACUGUUACAAGACUUGGAUAACCAAAGACCCAAUGCCUUGUCCCCUCAACCAGCCCUACUGUGAGCUGAAAAAGAUAACAACUGGUUCAUCAACAACCUGGAUGGGAGGCUGCAAUGCCAACUGCACAAUAAACACCUGGUGUACGACCACAACAGAUACAUGCCACCAAGAGUGCUGCAACACCUCCAUGACCUCCUGCCUCAAGCUGGAUGGUACUCUGAACGUUCCUUCUUCUGCCACUAGGGGUCUGCACUUCCCUUUAGCAAUGUUCACUGCUGCUCUGCUGGUUUGUCUGCUCAGCAUUGGUUCUCUGGCUUAAACUGGGUCGUGUUCAGUAGGUACCAAGCGGGGGAAAAAAUUAUUGAAAGAGGGAGGAAAUACCUUGACUUGUCCGUUGCAAAAUGGUUUAAAACGUUGCCUGUCGUGUGACUUAAUGAACACAACCCUGAUGUGUCGACCUACUGAGCCAUUGCUUGAAUAAUAUACAGCGAGCGGUAGUAGUUAGCACAGCAAAACCUGGUUCCAUUCCACAUGAAUACUAUACUGGUUGUAGGUCUAGCCUACUCUUUUUUUGUUUGUUUGUUUGUUUGCUUGUAUAUGAGAUGUAUUGAGAUACUGUAUAUGAAGGCUCAUAUGUGCUUUUGAGAAAUUUAGGCAAUUUAAGUGAUAAUGAUUCCCCUAUGUGAGUCCAAACCAAAUGGGUUUAAAGGGUAUUAUUGAAGAAUAU